AAAGAAUUGAAGAUAAUGAUGAAGAAGACGAUGAUGGUGUUGAAUUAUGUAUACGUCUUUAUUGUGUCAAAUGUGGAAGUUUCUUGGGACAUAAAAGACAUCCAUAUGGUCUUAGAACAUUUCCACCUAUUCCUUGCAUUUUCCCCCGAAAGGUGUUGAUUGCAGUUUGAUUUGAGAAUGAAUGAUGGAUACUUACAAAUACAAGGUUGGUGAAAACACAAUGUCAGGUUCAGAUAUGCUGCUACUCUUUCAUAUAUAUUCCAAUUAAGAAUUGAAGCAGUAUCUAUGCCAGAUUUUGUUGGGGUUUGUUUUUGUAAUUGUCUUUGUUUAUAGU
Long non-coding RNA from Cucumis melo (muskmelon), 334 nucleotides. RefSeq lists it as uncharacterized. The transcript is spliced from 3 exons. Lineage: Eukaryota; Viridiplantae; Streptophyta; Magnoliopsida; Cucurbitales; Cucurbitaceae. The record is from RefSeq and is a predicted model, not a curated record.